This 3206-nucleotide long non-coding RNA is filed under the name Mytilus galloprovincialis (Mediterranean mussel). The record is from RNAcentral. Lineage: Eukaryota; Metazoa; Mollusca; Bivalvia; Mytilida; Mytilidae.
UUUAUCUGCAAUGUUAAGAUUGUUUACAAAACAAAAUAUACAAAAACAUGAAUAAAAUGUCAUGAUAAAUCAAUAAUUUCUGAUGUAUAAAAUCCACACCAAAAUACAUAUUCAAUGGAAAAAAUUAGUAAAUUUAUAUCUUAAAACGCAAUGUCUUAAUGAUUUAUCUCUCAAUUAUUAGUAUUACAAAUGCAUAACAAUCCUACCUUUAAGAAGUACUUAAACUUUUAUGAAUAUUUUAAAUGCCUAUGUAAAAUGUGAUACAAAGGCCGAAUGACGUUUGGUUACAUCUACACCUGUUUUGAACACUUCAUCCUAUGAGUAGAAAUAUGAGUAUCUUCAAGGUCAUAUGCAAAAAUUAUUUGACAUAUUAAUUCAUCCAAUAUGUUGUAGAAUGUGCUAAGUCCCAGCAUUAGGGUAAUUUUUGUUUCUUGUUUUACAACAGAAACUUUGCAUGUGCUACCCAAUUUCUUUCAACAAUAAAGUUUAAAAUAAUCUAAAAUCAAGAUCUGCAACAGAAAUGAGCUGAAAAGACUUAAAGACAUAAAAAAAAUAUGAAUGGAUAUAUAUACUGGAAAAGUUAUGGUAUUUUAUAAAUGCUAUUUUGUACCAAGGGGAAAUAAUCCAGCACACUCAAUGACUGUCUAAUACCUAAUAGUCCUUUGCCUGGAAACAGAUAUAAAUAACAUGUAAUAUGAAAAGACACUCAGCGUGAGGCUCCAAGGCAAUUAUUCAAGUUAUAUGUCAAGAAUGAAGACUUUCAAAAAGGUUUAAUAAUUGGGGCACUUAUGCAUUUAAUCUAAAUAAAAAUCAAAUAUAUACAACAAAUUGCAUUGCAUACUAAGGAACAAUUCUAUAAGAGUUGCGUACAUAAAACUGAAUCAAUUUCAAGAACAACCAAAAAAAUGCACUAAUUUUAUGUAUUUUUUCUCAUUUUUAAAAGUAUCAGUUCUAGAGGCUACCCAUUUUCUAAUUGCAAUGAAAAUGGUCAUUAUCUAAACUAAAAGCAAAAUAGCAAAUAAAAUUUCUCUAAUACUGACAAAAAGACAAGGACAAAUUUAUACAUGAAAAGAAAUAAGAGAAAUACAAACUAGUACUUCACUUAUAAACAAAUACUGCAUUGCUAAAGCUAUAUAUUCAUAAACAAACAAAUACACCAAUUCAGAUGUGCAACAUGGUUUGAGUAUACACGUCUUUAACAGUAAAAAUCGCUUUUGCUAGAGUAUUUUUGCUUAUAUUAUUAAAACGACAAAAUUUAAAUGAGUCAAUAAUUUGAAAACAAAUGACAACCUUUGCUGUAUGAAAUUUUUAAAAUGAUUUGCCUUGAAAACUGCAUAUAUACAGGUAUAAGCAGCUUUCAGGAUGAACCCUAAUCCCUAAGGCCCAGACCAAAACUCUUUUCUGGACGUUAACAUUUUCCACAAGCUAUUAAUUGAAAAUUCACUAAAAAAUUAUGUUAGCCUGAUUUCUAUGUCAAUGUUUUCGAGUAGACUAUUUAAUCUAAAAUAUAAAAAGAGAAACCUACUCUAUAAAUAAUAUCUUAAAAAAAUAUAUAUAAAUAGAAAUAAAUUCUCUAUAAAAACAUGAACAAAAAUCUGACCACAUUUCCACUUAUACAACCUUUAAAUCAAUUCAAUUUGUUCAAAUUAAAUGUUCAACCUUUAUCAUGAUGUUAACCUUAAAUUCAGGAAAAAAUUAUCCUAACAAAGAUGGAUCACACUCCGAAAGUCUGAAUAAUAAUAAUACCUGCCAACUGUCACUAUUUGCAGGGAAUUUCCCACAUGGAGGUUCACAAAUGGAAAUUUUGAAAGAGCAAUUUUUUCCAUAAUUUUAAACAAAACAAUUAAUUUUACAAUGGCUAUAGGCUUGUAAAAGUAUAAAGAAGCCCCAAAACAACAUCAAAAUGUAUUUGAAGGCCCCCUUGCAGGUUUUGUGGGAAUAUAAGAGCCAUCUUGCAAGUAAAACCCCCAUGGACAUUUUGAAAAGUUGACAGGUAUGAUUUAUAACCUUUUCAUUUGGAUAUCUCCAUUAUCAAUGCCCCACAAAUGUUAACAAGUCACUAUACAAUGUUCACCAUGCAUGUAUAAACCUAUUUGAUGGUCAAAUACCGAACGUACAAGGGCUGUAUGGCCAGUCAAGGUCAUUAAAAACUUCCAUUUGUUGAUGGUCAAAUCUAUUUUAAUUGCAUAAUUUCUGUUGACUCUCUUGCUGUCUAGAUUUUAUAAACCAAAUCAUUUCUUAUUAUAGCAUAAGAAAUUUGAAAGAACUGUUCCAUUGUGAAACUCCUAUGUUACAGCAUCAUUAAGAGGCUGAGAAACUUUCAACACAAAAAUAACAAAGCACAUAUGUAAUGCCCAUUUCAAUUGUGGUACAUUUUCUGUACCAAGAUAUCAAUAAUUAUGUUAGAUGCAGAAAUUGAAACUGCUCAGGUGGAACUUUGGCGAUCCAAUAUAACACUUAAGCCUAUUCCAUUAAAAUUGAGGGUAGAAAGAAACUUAAUGAAUCCCCUUAUAACCAACAUACUUGACUUGAGCAAUUUUGUAAACAACAAAUGGUCCAUGAUCCAUGACCCAUUUUCCCUUCCUUCCCUCCCCCAUUCACUUUAAUAGAAUAGUCCUUAACUGACUCAAUCUGUAUCUUUUCAAAGUAAUCUGAAUAUCAACAUUUUUCAAUGAAAAAAAAAUAACAAUUUCUGAAAUAAGUUAUAAAAAGACUUAAAAAUUGCAUUAAAAUUGGUUAAAAUACCAAUAGUUAAUGGUGUACAACAACCAUACAUUACGACAAGAUAUUUCAAAUAUUCUUGCCAAUCAGAUUAUAUGGUGUUAAUAAAAAGUCAUGUCUACAACAAACAAACAUUUUUCUGACCCUGAGUGUACAAAAAAAAAUUAUACUUAAAGGCAAGAAAUUUAUAUUUUGUCAAAAUAUUACUACAUAACUUAUACGAAGCACAUGAAAGCUCACUUAAAAAUUCAGCAUUAUGGCUAAGAAUUUUGGGUAGCUUAAAGCACCUAUACUUCAAGAAACAAGUACAUUUUUUUAUAUAUAUGAAUUAUUAAAACAAUCAUAAUAUAUCACAAAUACUAGGAAUAGAAAGAAAGAAAACUGCUACAUCACUAGCUAUUAUAAAAUGAGAAUUUCAACAGAUCUGUGCCUUGUAUUUCAUUAUUCAUGACAAAAAUAGAAAUAACAAAAUAUUACAAAAAGCA